RNAcentral lists this ribosomal RNA (420 nucleotides) under Fusobacteriota bacterium. RNAcentral describes it as "Fusobacteria bacterium partial 16S ribosomal RNA". It matches the Rfam family "Bacterial small subunit ribosomal RNA", at positions 355 to 776 of the family's 1533-position model. The record is from RNAcentral. Lineage: Bacteria; Fusobacteriati; Fusobacteriota.
UGGGGGAUAUUGCACAAUGGGCGAAAGCCUGAUGCAGCGACGCCGCGUGGGGGAUGAAGGCCUUCGGGUUGUAAACUUCUCUUGCUCUGAACAAGGCAUGCCUUUGGGGUGUGUUGAGUGUAGGGGUUGAUUAGCGCCGGCUAACUACGUGCCAGCAGCCGCGGUAAUACGUAGGGCGCGAGCGUUGUCCGGAAUUAUUGGGCGUAAAGGGCUUGUAGGUGGCUGGUUGCGUCUGUCGUGAAAGCCCAUGGCUUAACUGUGGGUUUGCGGUGGGUACGGGCUGGCUUGAGUGCAGUAGGGGAGGCUGGAAUUCCUGGUGUAGCGGUGGAAUGCGCAGAUAUCAGGAGGAAUACCGGUGGCGAAGGCGGGUCUCUGGGAUGUUACUGACGCUGAGGAGCGAAAGCGUGGGGAGCGAACAGG